This 506-nucleotide ribosomal RNA is filed under the name uncultured bacterium. Its description in RNAcentral is "partial 16S ribosomal RNA". It matches the Rfam family "Bacterial small subunit ribosomal RNA", at positions 29 to 523 of the family's 1533-position model. The record is from RNAcentral.
AGUGAACGCUGGCGGUAGGCCUAACACAUGCAAGUCGAACGGCAGCACAGGAGAGCUUGCUCUCUGGGUGGCGAGUGGCGGACGGGUGAGGAAUACAUCGGAAUCUACUUUUUCGUGGGGGAUAACGUAGGGAAACUUACGCUAAUACCGCAUACGACCUACGGGUGAAAGCAGGGGAUCUUCGGACCUUGCGCGAUUGAAUGAGCCGAUGUCGGAUUAGCUAGUUGGCGGGGUAAAGGCCCGCCAAGGCGACGAUCCGUAGCUGGUCUGAGAGGAUGAUCAGCCACACUGGAACUGAGACACGGUCCAGACGCCUACGGGAGGCAGCAGUGGGGAAUAUUGGACAAUGGGCGCAAGCCUGAUCCAGCCAUACCGCGUGGGGGAAGAAGGCCUUCGGGUUGUAAAGCCCUUUUGUUGGGAAAGAAAUCCAGCUGGUUAAUACCCGGUUGGGAUGACGGUACCCAAAGAAUAAGCACCGGCUAACUUCGUGCCAGCCGCCGCUGUAA